RNAcentral lists this ribosomal RNA (253 nucleotides) under uncultured bacterium. RNAcentral describes it as "partial 16S ribosomal RNA". It matches the Rfam family "Bacterial small subunit ribosomal RNA", at positions 524 to 776 of the family's 1533-position model. The record is from RNAcentral.
UACAGAGGGUGCGAGCGUUAAUCGGAAUUACUGGGCGUAAAGCGUGCGCAGGCGGUUUGCUAAGACAGGUGUGAAAUCCCCGGGCUUAACCUGGGAACUGCGCUUGUAACUGGCAAGCUGGAGUGUGGCAGAGGGGGGUGGAAUUCCACGUGUAGCAGUGAAAUGCGUAGAGAUGUGGAGGAACACCGAUGGCGAAGGCAGCCCCCUGGGCUAACACUGACGCUCAUGCACGAAAGCGUGGGGAGCAAACAGG